Molecule: ribosomal RNA, 497 nt
Filed under: uncultured bacterium
Lineage: Bacteria
Description: partial 16S ribosomal RNA
Rfam family: Bacterial small subunit ribosomal RNA
Source: RNAcentral
GACGAACGCUGGCGGCGUGCCUAAUACAUGCAAGUUGAGCGCUGAAGGUUGGUACUUGUACCGACUGGAUGAGCAGCGAACGGGUGAGUAACGCGUGGGGAAUCUGCCUUUGAGCGGGGGACAACAUUUGGAAACGAAUGCUAAUACCGCAUAAAAACUUUAAACACAAGUUUUAAGUUUGAAAGAUGCAAUUGCAUCACUCAAAGAUGAUCCCGCGUUGUAUUAGCUAGUUGGUGAGGUAAAGGCUCACCAAGGCGAUGAUACAUAGCCGACCUGAGAGGGUGAUCGGCCACAUUGGGACUGAGACACGGCCCAAACUCCUACGGGAGGCAGCAGUAGGGAAUCUUCGGCAAUGGACGAAAGUCUGACCGAGCAACGCCGCGUGAGUGAAGAAGGUUUUCGGAUCGUAAAACUCGGUUGGUAGAGAAGAACGUUGGUGAGAGUGGAAAGCUCAUCAAGUGACGGUAACUACCCAGAAAGGGACGGCUAACUACGUG